UACUGAAGGGUUGGUAGGGGACCAGAGAAUAGAGGAAGCAUUGUAGGUUCUAGAGUGGAGAAGGGACCAUCCAAAAUGGAGUUUGAAAGAGAAUUCUGGCCUUUGUGUUUAGAGUCUGGAAUUGUCAAGAGUCUGAAAGCACAGAAUAAGACUGCAGCUAGAGCAAUUUAGGCGCCAUAGUUUGUCAAAACAGGACUCUAGCCCUGAUCUGCUCUCUUCUGGGAGCAUCUGAUAGAACAAACAGAAACCCCUCUCCCACUGUUCUCCUGUGUCCAGAGUGGGAGGCAUAACUGCUUUGCCUCCAGUCAUCAUCUGGGGGCAUAUCUACUCUUCGAGGACCAGGGGUUCGGGACCCUGGAACAGGAUCUGAAUUCCAAGCUGACCUCAGGGGUACAUGAAGACUGCUAGAUGAGACGGGAUCUCACUGUGUUGCCCAGGCUGGUCUCGAACUGCUGGACUCAAGUCAUCCUCCCAUCUUGGCCUCCCAAAGUGCUGGAAUUACAGUGGACAACCUUCAAUGCACUGGUACUUUGUACCCUGACCUCUACUGUGAUGAACACUCAACUUGGGCAAGGAAGUGAAAUUCUCCAAAGGAAUUAUUAAGAUAAGGACCAGCAGUACAAUGAGCUUUUCACUGUAUGUCUGACCUGAAAGAAGAAAAUCUUUUCAGAGGACUCCUCUCUCCCCUUCAGUCGCCAAGACAAUGAGAGCUCUUGCUACAGAAUACUCAUGGUCAUUUCUUCCCCU
Molecule: long non-coding RNA, 747 nt
Filed under: Homo sapiens (human)
Lineage: Eukaryota; Metazoa; Chordata; Mammalia; Primates; Hominidae
Description: PPP3CB antisense RNA 1
Source: RNAcentral